This 454-nucleotide ribosomal RNA is filed under the name uncultured bacterium. RNAcentral describes it as "partial 16S ribosomal RNA". It matches the Rfam family "Bacterial small subunit ribosomal RNA", at positions 28 to 507 of the family's 1533-position model. The record is from RNAcentral.
GAUGAACGCUGACAGAAUGCUUAACACACGCAAGUCAACUUGAACUUCGGUUUGGGUGGCGGACGGGUGAGUCACGCGUAAAGAACUUGCCUCACAGAUAGGGACAACAUUUGGAAACGAAUGCUAAUACCUGAUAUUAUGAUUAUAUGGCAUCGUAUAAUUAUGAAAGCUAUAUGCGCUGUGAGAGAGCUUUGCGUCCCAUUAGCUAGUUGGAGAGGUAACGGCUCACCAAGGCGAUGAUGGGUAGCCGGCCUGAGAGGGUGAUCGGCCACAAGGGGACUGAGACACGGCCCUUACUCCUACGGGAGGCAGCAGUGGGGAAUAUUGGACAAUGGACCAAGAGUCUGAUCCAGCAAUUCUGUGUGCACGAUGAAGUUUUUCGGAAUGUAAAGUGCUUUCAGUUGGGAAGAAAAAAAUGACGGUACCAACAGAAGAAGUGACGGCUAAAUACGUG